RNAcentral lists this ribosomal RNA (476 nucleotides) under uncultured bacterium. RNAcentral describes it as "bacterial SSU rRNA". It matches the Rfam family "Bacterial small subunit ribosomal RNA", at positions 30 to 519 of the family's 1533-position model. The record is from RNAcentral.
AUUGAACGCUGGCGGAAUGCUUUACACAUGCAAGUCGAACGGUAGAGGGGGCAACCUCUCGAGAGUGGCGAACGGGUGAGUAAUAUAUCGGAACGUGCCCAGUCGUGGGGGAUAACGUAGCGAAAGUUACGCUAAUACCGCAUACGAUCUACGGAUGAAAGCGGGGGACUCGCAAGAGCCUCGUGCGAUUGGAGCGGCCGAUAUCAGAUUAGGUAGUUGGUGGGGUAAAGGCUCACCAAGCCAACGAUCUGUAGCUGGUCUGAGAGGACGACCAGCCACACUGGGACUGAGACACGGCCCAGACUCCUACGGGAGGCAGCAGUGGGGGAAUAUUGGACAAUGGGCGAAAGCCUGAUCCAGCAAUGCCGCGUGAGUGAUGAAGGCCUUAGGGUUGUUAAAAGGCUCGUUUUUACCCAGGGGAUGAUAAUGACAGUACCUGGAGAUAAGCUCCGGCUAACUCCGUGCCAGCAGCCGCG